RNAcentral lists this ribosomal RNA (585 nucleotides) under uncultured bacterium. RNAcentral's name for it is "bacterial SSU rRNA". It matches the Rfam family "Bacterial small subunit ribosomal RNA", at positions 338 to 916 of the family's 1533-position model. The record is from RNAcentral.
CCUACGGGAGGCAGCAGUGGGGAAUUUUGGACAAUGGGCGCAAGCCUGAUCCAGCAAUGCCGCGUGAGUGAAGAAGGCCUUCGGGUUGUAAAGCUCUUUUGUCAGGGAAGAAACGGCCGAGGCUAAUACCUUUGGCUAAUGACGGUACCUGAAGAAUAAGCACCGGCUAACUACGUGCCAGCAGCCGCGGUAAUACGUAGGGUGCAAGCGUUAAUCGGAAUUACUGGGCGUAAAGCGUGCGCAGGCGGUUUUGUAAGUCUGACGUGAAAUCCCCGGGCUCAACCUGGGAAUUGCGUUGGAGACUGCAAGGCUGGAGUCUGGCAGAGGGGGGUAGAAUUCCACGUGUAGCAGUGAAAUGCGUAGAGAUGUGGAGGAACACCGAUGGCGAAGGCAGCCCCCUGGGUCAAGACUGACGCUCAUGCACGAAAGCGUGGGGAGCAAACAGGAUUAGAUACCCUGGUAGUCCACGCCCUAAACGAUGUCUACUAGUUGUCGGGUCUUAAUUGACUUGGUAACGCAGCUAACGCGUGAAGUAGACCGCCUGGGGAGUACGGUCGCAAGAUUAAAACUCAAAUGAAUUGACGG